GAUGAACGCUGGCGGCGUGCCUAAUACAUGCAAGUCGAGCGAACAGACGAGGAUCUUGCUCCUCUGACGUUAGCGGCAGACGGGUGAGUAACACGUGUAUAACCUACUUAUAAGACUGGUAUAACUUCGGGAAACCGGCGCUAAUACCGGAUAAUAUAUUGAACCGCAUGGGUCAAUAGUGAAAGACGGCUUUGCUGUCACUUAUAGAUGGAUCCGCGCCGCAUUAGGUAGUUGGUAAGGUAACGGGUUAUCAAGGCAACGAUGCGUAGCCGACCUGAGAGGGUGGUCGGCCACACUGGAACUGAGACACGGUCCAGACUCCUACGGGAGGCAGCAGUAGGGAAUCUUCCGCAAAAGGCGAAAGCCUGACGGAGCAACGCCGCGUGAGUGAUGAAGGUCUUCGGAUCGUAAAACUCUGUUAUUAGGGAAGAACAAAUUUGUAAGUAAAUAUGCACGUCUUGACGGUACCUAAUCAGAAAGCCACGGCUAACUACGUG
Molecule: ribosomal RNA, 497 nt
Filed under: uncultured bacterium
Lineage: Bacteria
Description: partial 16S ribosomal RNA
Rfam family: Bacterial small subunit ribosomal RNA
Source: RNAcentral